UACGGGGGGGGCAAGCGUUGUUCGGAAUUACUGGGCGUAAAGGGCUCGUAGGCGGCCAACUAAGUCCGACGUGAAAUCCCCAGGCUUAACCUGGGAACUGCGUCGGAUACUGGAUGGCUUGAAUUCGGGAGAGGGAUGCAGAAUUCCAGGUGUAGCGGUGUAAUGCGUAGAUAUCUGGAGGAAUACCGGUGGCGAAGGCGGCAUCCUGGACCGACAUUGACGCUGAUGAGCGAAAGCUAGGGGAGCAAACGGG
RNAcentral lists this ribosomal RNA (253 nucleotides) under uncultured bacterium. RNAcentral describes it as "partial 16S ribosomal RNA". It matches the Rfam family "Bacterial small subunit ribosomal RNA", at positions 524 to 776 of the family's 1533-position model. The record is from RNAcentral.